AAUCGUGACGUAAGGGAUAUUGAGGUCGGAGAAUUCGGAGCUCGAGGAUGAUCCAAGUUUCCGAUUUGGAAUUUCGAGUUGGAUGACCGUUCAAAACAAAUUUUCCAAUUCGAAACACAUUUUUCCGAAUUGCAAGUUGUAUUGAACACACUGAGGUCAGAUGUCGGAGAUUCCCGAGUUCCCAGUUGAAUGGAACGCUGCAUGAACUCCGACUUCUCUCCCAUUAUGGCCUCUUCGUUUUUUUAAAUGUAACUAGGCAAGUCAGUUAAGAACAAAUUCUUAUUUAUUUAUAAACCGGGACAACGCUGAGCCAAUUGUGCGCCGCACUAUGGGACUCCCAAUCACAGCCAGUUGUGAUACAGCCUGGAUUCGAACCAGAGUGUUUGUAGUGACGCCUCUAGCACUGUAUCAGGAAAUGAAAGCAGUAUCAGGAAAUGAUCUCCAUAACAGAUUUUUCGGCAGUUAAGUGUAACAACUAAACAUUAUUUAUAAAAGCAAUCUAUUCAUAUAUAUUUUUUCACACUGUAUUUUCUUGACAAGCAUGAUUGAUAGCUGUUCUUGUAGUUUAUGGUUGACCAGCUGGUUGGCCAUUAGCCAAUCGGCGUUUCAACGAGUUCAAAGCAUGUGUGAAUGUAUCCAAAUUGCAACGAGUAAUUACCACCUUCCCAUGUGGUUAUGCUGCGUUCAUGUGCUCGUCGAAGUAUUUGAUUUCGAUAAUAUUGCUUUGUUUCAUUCAUUUGCUUUUUGGUCUGACUCUGCAAACUUGUUAGAUGCAUUUGCUGUUUGUUUUGCUUGUUUUUCAGUUUAUGUUGUGCCCAAUAGAAAUUAAUGAUAAAUAAUGUAUUUUAGGAAGGUAGAAAGAAAGUCAUUUGAACCGGUGAUUCGUAACAUUUGGUACGUUUGGGGUCCUGGGGACCAAUGCACUCAAAUCUUAAACAUUUGAACCGGGGGCCAAUACCUAUCAUGAAUCGUUACAUCCCUAAUGUUUCCUACUCUCCUUGUCUGUUCCAAUCUCACUGUGUAUUUGCUUCCUUUCAGGAUUAGAAGACACUGGGUAUCUCUCCUCUGAUGGCUGCCAUGAAUGGUCACGUCCCUGCGGUCAAGCUGCUGCUGGACAUGGGCUCAGACAUCAACACUCAGAUCGAGACCAAACGUAACACAGCACAGACCCUGGCCUGCCAACGUGGAGCACUGCGUCAAGGACUAGAAGACACUGGGUAUCUCUCCUCUGAUGGCUGCCAUGAAUGGUCACGUCCCUGCGGUCAAGCUGCUGCUGGACAUGGGCUCAGACAUCAACACUCCGAUCGAGACCAAACGUAACACAGCACAGACCCUGGCCUGCCAACGUGGAGCACUGCGUCAAGGUGAGAGCAGCCAUCAUCAGCUGAACCUGACAUGUUAUGUUAUCUGGGAUAGAGUCAAAGACAUUAGGAAUGAUGUUUGGUGUUAGACUGUUUGGUGCAGUAUGUCACUAACCCAUACGUUCUCUCUGAUUGGUCAAACUCCUCUCAUGGAGGGUGUGUCAGGUGGCUAUGCUGAGAUGGGGCAUGUUCUGCUGGACAAGAGCGCUUACGUCACCUGUCCAAACCUUCCAAGACACCGUGUGCACCAUUGCUGCAGACAAGGGCCACUACAAGUUCUGUGAGCUCCUCAUCAACAGCUAAUUACUGUUACAGUCUACCUUCAGUAUGAGACCAACAUCUCCUCCUGGGACAACGGAUACACGUGACUC
Long non-coding RNA from Oncorhynchus tshawytscha (Chinook salmon), 1732 nucleotides. RefSeq lists it as uncharacterized. The record is from RefSeq and is a predicted model, not a curated record. The transcript is spliced from 3 exons. NCBI's taxonomy places the organism in Eukaryota, Metazoa, Chordata, Actinopteri, Salmoniformes, Salmonidae.